RNAcentral lists this ribosomal RNA (497 nucleotides) under uncultured bacterium. RNAcentral's name for it is "partial 16S ribosomal RNA". It matches the Rfam family "Bacterial small subunit ribosomal RNA", at positions 28 to 507 of the family's 1533-position model. The record is from RNAcentral.
GAUGAACGCUGGCGGCGUGCCUAAUACAUGCAAGUCGAGCGAACGGACGAGAAGCUUGCUUCUCUGAUGUUAGCGGCGGACGGGUGAGUAACACGUGGAUAACCUACCUAUAAGACUGGGAUAACUUCGGGAAACCGGAGCUAAUACCGGAUGAUAUUUUGAACCGCAUGGUUCAAAAGUGAAAGACGGUCUUGCUGUCACUUAUAGAUGGAUCCGCGCUGCAUUAGCUAGUUGGUAAGGUAACGGCUUACCAAGGCAACGAUGCAUAGCCGACCUGAGAGGGUGAUCGGACACACUGGAACUGAGACACGGUCCAGACUCCUACGGGAGGCAGCAGUAGGGAAUCUUCCGCAAUGGGCGAAAGCCUGACGGAGAAACGCCGCGUGAGUGAUGAAGGUAUUCGGAUCGUAAAACUCUGUUAUUAGGGAAGAACAUAUGUGUAAGUAACUGUGCACAUCUUGACGGUACCUAAUCAGAAAGCCACGGCUAACUACGUG